UUCUUCACACGGGCCACUUGCACGUAAAAUGUCUUCCUGAUUUAUUUAUUUUUUCCCCAACUCCAGUUGGAUAUUAAGAAAUCAUUAUUUUUAAGUAUAUACUGGCGGAAGUAAAUAAGGAACAACAAUUUUGAUUUUUCUCCUUCACUUUCCUCAUUCUCCCAGAAACUGCUGAUUUUGUCAGCUGUUGAGCUGUAUUUCUCCAUUUCUUGUAUGGGCCCAUGAAUUCUGGGCUUCCAAAUCCCAAGUGAAUAUCAGCCUCCAGCCAGAGCUCCCCUGUCUAGGGUACCAAGCUUGCUUGUGUGACCCUUGCUUCAAGGGCCCUCUCCUCGGAGACACAAUGGCUUCUGCCCCUGCCUGGGCUACAGAACUUUUUCGUGUGUUCAGUCUGCUCUUAGGAUCUUAGGGAAGAAGAGAAGAGUCCUGCCUGUACCAGUGUGAAUGCCUGUGCCUGGAAUGCUUGCCCACGGCUUCCCUGGGCUGGCUCCCUCUGGGAAGCUUUCCUCCACUCUUCCCAGAUUUCCCGUGAACAGCAUGCUUGUAGCACCAUGGCCGCUCACACCCCCUGUGCAGAUGGCAUUGGAUCGUCUCUCUCUCUGCCUAUAUUCUUCUCUGGAGCACAAGCUCUAAGGGUGGGAAUAUCAUUGUGUCCUCAGCACCUAGCUAGAUCCUUUGGACAAAGGAAAUACAGAAAACAGUUGACAAAAUAACUGAAUUCAGAAUCUUCAACUCAGAUUUCCGUGUCAGGAUCUAAAAACUGUCUGUGCAGCCAUUUGGACCUCAGUGUGAAGUGGUGUUAAAAGGUGAAGUCUAUUCUUCAGGAAGUAAACCUCUGCCAGGCGGAUCAUGCUCAGACAUUCGAUUGAAGUUUGUCCAACAGUUUCUUGCUUUGGAAGGUGUCCCUCUUGGUGGAACACAGUUUCACUUUUUGCUGGAACUCAGAGCUGCAAAUGAUGCUUAACAUACCAACGCUUUCUGACUGAGCUCCCCUCUACCCUGAAUACAAGAGACCCUAAUAGUUAUGUGGAAAUGUCAUCGCCCCUGUUCAGCAUGAAGUUACAGAAGAUGGACCUUCAUCCUUCUGCAACCCCUGGAUUAAGGGUCCUCUUGUAAAAGGGAGGGGGGGAAUAUGUAAGAAACAUUCAAACCACAGCGACUCCAUUUUGAACAAGGGCUAAAAAAAAUGAAGCUGGGUCCUGUUGGGCUGCAUUUCCCAGGUGGUUAAGCAUUCCUAGCCUCAAGAUAUUUACAAUUGAGGGGACAGAUUAAUAAUGUCUCCUAAACACACUCAGGACUUAACAGACCCAGGAAUGUCUUGAUACUUUGAGAACAAAAGCACUUCUAGUUUUAAAUAUGCAUUGUACCUAGGAUGGAUGCUUUCGUACUUUUGGAAAUGGCCUACCCUGUCUAUGGAGUCACUAUUCGUUCACUCCUUUAAUAAAGUUGCUUCUGUUUCGCA
Molecule: non-coding RNA, 1459 nt
Organism: Macaca mulatta (Rhesus monkey)
Lineage: Eukaryota; Metazoa; Chordata; Mammalia; Primates; Cercopithecidae
Source: RefSeq, a predicted model, not a curated record